CCGUCCCUUCUGCGCACCGGCGACGACGGCGACGAUGUCGAGACAGUAUAAAACUGAGAGCCAACGGCGCGCCGACUUCAGUGGGCUUGGUGGCACCAUCCGAGACGCAAUGCUCAAACCUUUGUUCGUCUUCAUACAGGCCCAAUGGUGGACCGGUAGCCCAGGAAAGGUGGUGGUGAUCGGGUUCGAGUCCCGGACAAGGAGGAAUAUUUCAUCGACUUUGAAGCUUUUCUUUCGAGGAGCCCGUAUAGAUGUCCUUCGUAGCACUUGGUUAUAUUUGAAUGGAUUCCUCAUUUGUUUUUGUAAUAAAUACUGCUCUCCACCUUG
Dermacentor albipictus is the source of this 327-nucleotide long non-coding RNA. RefSeq lists it as uncharacterized. The record is from RefSeq and is a predicted model, not a curated record. NCBI's taxonomy places the organism in Eukaryota, Metazoa, Arthropoda, Arachnida, Ixodida, Ixodidae.